UACGUAGGUGGCAAGCGUUGUCCGGAUUUACUGGGCGUAAAGCGCGCGUAGGCGGCCUGCUAAGUCUGGGGUGAAAUCUCCCGGCUCAACCGGGAGGGGUCUUCGGAUACUGGUGGGCUUGAGGGCAGCAGAGGAAGGUGGAAUUCCCGGUGUAGUGGUGAAAUGCGUAGAUAUCGGGAGGAACACCAGUGGCGAAGGCGGCCUUCUGGGCUGUACCUGACGCUGAGGCGCGAAAGCGUGGGGAGCGAACCGG
This 253-nucleotide ribosomal RNA is filed under the name uncultured bacterium. RNAcentral's name for it is "partial 16S ribosomal RNA". It matches the Rfam family "Bacterial small subunit ribosomal RNA", at positions 524 to 776 of the family's 1533-position model. The record is from RNAcentral.